Molecule: ribosomal RNA, 440 nt
Filed under: uncultured bacterium
Lineage: Bacteria
Description: bacterial SSU rRNA
Rfam family: Bacterial small subunit ribosomal RNA
Source: RNAcentral
CCUACGGGUGGCAGCAGUAGGGAAUCUUGCACAAUGGGCGCAAGCCUGAUGCAGCAACGCCGCGUGCCCGAUGAAGGCCUUCGGGUCGUAAAGGGCUUUUCUGAAGGACGAGUACGGACGGUACUUCAGGAACAAGGAUCGGCUAACUACGUGCCAGCAGCCGCGGUAAAACGUAGGAUCCGAGCGUUAUCCGAAUUCACUGGGCGUAAAGCGCGUGCAGGCGGCGGGCUAAGUUGGAUGUGAAAUCUCCCGGCUCAACUGGGAGGCGCCGUUCAAAACUGGCCGGCUCGAGGGCGGUAGAGGAAGGUGGAAUUCCCGGUGUAGUGGUGAAAUGCGUAGAGAUCGGGAGGAACACCCGUGGCGAAAGCGGCCUUCUGGACCGACCCUGACGCUCAGACGCGAAAGCUAGGGGAGCGAACGGGAUUAGAUACCCUUGUAGU